CUCUCUGCCCCUCCCCUGCUUUGUCUCUUUCUCAAAAAUAAAUAAAAACAUUAGAAGAAUUUUUGAAGAGCAGCUAUGUUCAGAGUGCCAGAAAGCUGUCUCGAGCUUUGCCGUGGUAUAGUUUUUUCCACAUUGAUGAGACACUCUGCCCAGCCACCGCCUCUGACCGUGCUUCCUGUAUCCAAAGUCAUGGCCAGUAGAGCAUCCGCGUUCAGGUGGUGGUUAGGAGGAGGGCAUUUCCCUAGACCACCAAGCCAGGGUUUUGCCCACUUCCCUCCUGCGGGCCUGCCUUGGGAAUUCCUGGACGGUCUGCGGGCCACCGACCGGUGACUUGUAGUAACUCCGAGGCCGGGGGCCGGAGGAGCCCGCCCCAGCUGACCACAUCCUGCCCUGGCCCAGGGCAUUCUGGGAGCUCUGCUGUUGGGCCCCGGCAACCGGUCCAGCCUGGGAGGGGAGUCUCCCUCCCUCUGCCCCAAGGGGGAGUGCGGACCGGGGCCAGAGGGUGCCUGCAUCUUCCUGGGAGCCACCCAGGGUCCUGUCACCAGAACCACACAGCCGUGUACCCACCUGUCCCCUUCACUCGGCCUGUUCCUCCUUGGAAUGCUUUUACCCAUAACGCACCUCAGGGCCAACACUUUUACCUAAUUACCUAAUUAGGACAGCUGAGCCCUGGCCUGUCACAUUCCUGCCAAGGAGAGGACGAUGGCCGGGCCCGGGAGCCAACGUGGUGCUGAGCUCUGUCCCCGCUCUGGGAGAAGGUCUCGAGAGCAGGAUCUGCCACCAGGCUCACCUGCUGCCUGACACCAGCCAGUGGAACACGCCUCGUAGCUCUCUGGAUGUCGACAGAUAAUGUACCUGUUUAUAGAGAGCAGCCGACCGGAAGCACAAGUCACCAUGUCUGUGAGCCUCCCGGUGAGCGACCACAGCAUUGUCCACGCCUGCCAGGCCACCUGCCGACCCUGCGGCUCAGAGGUGUUUUUGCAGGUAGCUCCCCAAGACAGUUUGAAUUCUUGCUGCGUCUGAGAAGAACAUCUCUGUGACUCCCUCGGACAUGGUGGUCAGUUUGGCUGGGUAUAGAAUUCCAGGCUCCAUUCCAGAAACUGUUUUCUGGAGUGGCUGCACCAGUUACAUUCCCACCAGAGUGACUCAGUUUCUCUGCACCUUUGCCUUCACCAGCUUUCGUUCUCCAAGGUCAUCUUACAAACAUUUUUGGUCCACGCAUAUGUUUUUGUUUUUGGAUAUCCAGUCGCUGCUGCCUCAUGUGUUGAAAAGACAAUUCCUCCUUCACUGAAUUGCUUUUGCAAAUAUCUGUCAAAUAUCAAUUAACCAUUCCAUGUGGGGCUAUUUCUGGGUUCUCUGUUCUAUUGAUUCACAUGUCUUUCCUUCUGCCAACACCAUGGUCUCGAUUAAUGUAAUUAUAUAGUAAGUCUUGAAAUCUGGUACAGUGACUCCUCCCAUUUUAUUCUUUGUUUCCAGAAUUGUGUUAGCAAUCUUAAUUCCUUUGCUUUUCCGUAUAAACAGAAUAAUUUUGAAUAUUUAGAAUAACUUAGAAUAAUUUUGUUUAUUUCUGCAAAAAAAAAUUUACUGGGGUUUUGUUAGGAAUUGUGUUAAACCUGUAUAUCACUUUUGGAGAAUAGACUCCUUUAUUAUGUUGAGUUUUCUAAUCCAUGAACAUGGUAUGUCUCUCCAUGUAUUGAGAUCUUUGAUUUCUCUCUUCAGUGCUUUGUAGUCUUCAGCUUGUGCCUGUUUUGUCACAUUUGCACCCAAGAAUUUCAUUUUUUUAGUGAUUUUAAGUUGCACUGCAUUUUUAAUUUCAGUUUCCAUCUGUUCAUCGAUAGUAUAGAGAAAAACAAUUGAUUUUUGUAAGUUGAUCUUGUAUCCUGUAGCCUAGUUUAUUAGCUCUAGGAAUUUUUAUUUGUGUAUUUUCAUAGAUUCCUUAGGAUUCUUAGGAGGACCGCCACCAUCAUGCUAUCUGCAAAUGAAGGCACUUUUGUUUCUUCCUUUCUGGUCUGUAUACAUUUUAUUUCCUUUAUUUUCUUUAUCUAGGACUUCCAGGACAAUGUUGAAUACAAGUGGUGAAAGAGGGCAUUUUGUCUUGUUCCUGGUCUUAGAGGAAAACAUUCAGUCUUGCAUCAAGUAUGAUGCCAGCCAUAGAAUUUCUAUAGAUGCCAGAUGCUCUUUUAUCAAGUUGAGGAUUUACUCUACUCCUAGUUUUUUGAGGAUUUUAUCAUAAAUAGAUGUUAAUUUUGCCAAAUAUGUUUUCUCCAUCAAUUGAUAUGAUUAUAUGGUUUUUCUUCUUUAGGCUGUUCAUAUUACAGAUUGUAUUGCUUGAUUUUUGAAUGUUAAACCAACAUUCAUUCCUGUAAUAACCUCAAUUUGGUCAUGGUAAUUGUAACCUCCAUGUAAUGCUGAAUUCUACUUGCUACUAUUUUAUUAGGAAUGUCUGUGUCUAUACUUAUGAGGAAUAUUGGUCUGUGGUUUUCUUCUUCCAUGCCAUCUUUGUCUGGUUUUGGGAUAGGAUAAUUCUUGCUUUGAAAAUGAUUUGGAGGGGUGCCUGGGUGGCUCAGUCGGUUAAGCGCCCGACUUCGGCUCAGGUCACGAUCUCGCGGGGGGUGGGUUUGAGCCCUGCGUCGGGCUC
This is a long non-coding RNA of Leopardus geoffroyi (Geoffroy's cat), 2638 nucleotides long. RefSeq lists it as uncharacterized. The transcript is spliced from 3 exons. NCBI's taxonomy places the organism in Eukaryota, Metazoa, Chordata, Mammalia, Carnivora, Felidae. The record is from RefSeq and is a predicted model, not a curated record.